Molecule: long non-coding RNA, 1008 nt
Filed under: Sinocyclocheilus anshuiensis
Lineage: Eukaryota; Metazoa; Chordata; Actinopteri; Cypriniformes; Cyprinidae
Description: lncRNA (ENSSANG00000020118.1)
Source: RNAcentral
GGUGGCUCCCAAACGACAACUGACAAUGCCGCGGUUGGAACUCUGUGCAGCCUUGGCUGGUGCACAGCUUGCUAAGCUUCUAAUGCAAGAGUUGACCAUUCCUAUUGAGACGACCACACUCUGGACCGACUCGACUACCGUCUUGACCUGGAUUCAGUCGGAGUCUUGCCGAUAUAAAGUCUUUGUCGGCACUAGAGUGGCUGAGAUCCAGGAGUUAACUGACCUGCAUUCGUGGAGGUACGUGGACUCAGCAAGUAACCCGGCAGACGAUAUCACCCGGGGAAAGACGCUUGUAGAGCUGGCGAGCCCCAGUAGGUGGAAUCAGGGACCUCAUUUCUUACGUGGACCACCAGAUCAGUGGCCAGCUAUACCUCUGAUGGAGAAUCGAGAUGAUUCGUCAGAAACCAGGAAGACUGUAUUCUGUGGACUAACUAUAGAUGACCGGAAUCCGCAGAUGCCCGACGCAGCUCAAUUCACCUCCUGGAAGGCCUUGGUUAAGGCAACUUACCAGUCCCUUCACGGGGCGGCUGUUUUAGAUGCAGGAACCUCUAAACCUGAUUAUCAGAGUGCUGAAGUGUUAAUCUUGAGCCAGUCCCAAGCCGAAUCUUUCCCACUAGAAGUCAAAGCUUUGAAAGCAGGUAAGCCAGUGCCCCCUUCUAGUCGUUUGAGCACACUAGCACCAGAGUUUGAUCCGGCAUUAAGUUUGAUUCGAGUUGGAGGACGGCUUCGAAGAUUGGAAGGCUCGAUCCCAACCGAGAUUCACCCAGUAGUUUUAGACCCCCAUCAUGCUGUAACCAAGCUACUAAUCCAAGACUUUGAUGAAUGUCUACUUCAUCCAGGGCCGGACAGAGUUUUUGCUGAACUCCGUCGUUACUACUGGGUGCUGAGAGGUAGACAGGCGGUGAAGAAACACCAGAGGGGGUGCGUGCAAUGCCAGAGGUGGAGGGCUAAGCCGACGGUGCCCAUUAUGGCUGACCUACCCUUAGCUCGGCUACGACUCUAUCAACC